UGGACUUUAAUUUUUAUAUCUAAAAAUUAAGAAGGCUUUAAUAAUAGGUGAAGCAUACAAACAUGCCUUCAAUGAAAAAUUUUACUCAUGGCAUAUUAACAAAAGAUAAAUCUGGUUCCUGUCCUAUGGGAGCUAAAAGCCCUUUGAAAAGUCACUGACAUUGUUCAGUAGUACCAAUACUUUCUGUUUUUAUUAAGAUGCUGUUGUAUAAGAUGGCACAGGGAUUUAAAUAACUUCUAAGGAGGAAUAUAUAAGUCAGUGUGCUGCUGCCAUGACAUUUUGAAAAGAAAUGCCUUUGAGAGGAUGUGAACAUUGAGCUUAGCCUUAAUAAUUACUGGCAUGAAUUCACCAGUUGUGGGAG
Molecule: long non-coding RNA, 361 nt
Organism: Sapajus apella (tufted capuchin)
Lineage: Eukaryota; Metazoa; Chordata; Mammalia; Primates; Cebidae
Exons: 2
Source: RefSeq, a predicted model, not a curated record